AGGGUUUGAUUAUGGCUCAGGACGAACGCUGGCGGCGUGCCUAACACAUGCAAGUCGAACGAAGCACUGCGGAUAGAGACUUCGGUCAAUUGAAGCUUUGACUUAGUGGCGGACGGGUGAGUAACGCGUGAGGAACCUGCCUUUCAGAGGGGGACAACAGUUGGAAACGACUGCUAAUACCGCAUGAAGCAGCGAGAUCGCAUGGUCUUGCUGCCAAAGAUUUAUCGCUGAAAGAUGGCCUCGCGUCUGAUUAGAUAGUUGGUGAGGUAACGGCUCACCAAGUCGACGAUCAGUAGCCGGACUGAGAGGUUGAACGGCCACAUUGGGACUGAGAUACGGCCCAG
Molecule: ribosomal RNA, 344 nt
Filed under: uncultured bacterium
Lineage: Bacteria
Description: bacterial SSU rRNA
Rfam family: Bacterial small subunit ribosomal RNA
Source: RNAcentral